Molecule: ribosomal RNA, 1344 nt
Filed under: uncultured bacterium
Lineage: Bacteria
Description: bacterial SSU rRNA
Rfam family: Bacterial small subunit ribosomal RNA
Source: RNAcentral
AGAGUUUGAUCCUGGCUCAGGACGAACGCUGGCGGCGCGCCUAACACAUGCAAGUCGAACGAGCGAGAGGAAGCUUGCUUUCUCAAGCGAGUGGCGAACGGGUGAGUAACGCGUGAGGAACCUGCCUCAAAGAGGGGGACAACAGUUGGAAACGACUGCUAAUACCGCAUAAGCCCACAGCUCGGCAUCGAGCAGAGGGAAAAGGAGUAAUCCGCUUUGAGAUGGCCUCGCGUCCGAUUAGCUGGUUGGUGAGGUAACGGCCCACCAAGGCGACGAUCGGUAGCCGGACUGAGAGGUUGAACGGCCACAUUGGGACUGAGACACGGCCCAGACUCCUACGGGAGGCAGCAGUGGGGAAUAUUGCACAAUGGGGGAAACCCUGAUGCAGCGACGCCGCGUGGAGGAAGAAGGUCUUCGGAUUGUAAACUCCUGUUGUUGAGGAAGAUAAUGACGGUACUCAACAAGGAAGUGACGGCUAACUACGUGCCAGCAGCCGCGGUAAAACGUAGGUCACAAGCGUUGUCCGGAAUUACUGGGUGUAAAGGGAGCGCAGGCGGGAAGGCAAGUUGGAAGUGAAAUCCAUGGGCUCAACCCAUGAACUGCUUUCAAAACUGUUUUUCUUGAGUAGUGCAGAGGUGGGCGGAAUUCCCGGUGUAGCGGUGGAAUGCGUAGAUAUCGGGAGGAACACAGUGGCGAAGGCGGGCUACUGGGCACCAACUGACGCUGAGGCUCGAAAGUGUGGGUAGCAAACAGGAUUAGAUACNCUGGUAGUCCACACUGUAAACGAUGAUUACUAGGUGUUGGAGGAUUGACCCCUUCAGUGCCGCAGUUAACACAAUAAGUAAUCCACCUGGGGAGUACGACCGCAAGGUUGAAACUCAAAGGAAUUGACGGGGGCCCGCACAAGCAGUGGAGUAUGUGGUUUAAUUCGACGCAACGCGAAGAACCUUACCAAGUCUUGACAUCCUGCGACGCACAUAGAAAUAUGUGUUUCCUUCGGGACGCAGAGACAGGUGGUGCAUGGUUGUCGUCAGCUCGUGUCGUGAGAUGUUGGGUUAAGUCCCGCAACGAGCGCAACCCUUAUGGUCAGUUACUACGCAAGAGGACUCUGGCCAGACUGCCGUUGACAAGACGGAGGAAGGUGGGGAUGACGUCAAAUCAUCAUGCCCUUUAUGACUUGGGCUACACACGUACUACAAUGGCGUUAAACAAAGAGAAGCAAGACCGCGAGGUGGAGCAAAACUCAGAAACAACGUCCCAGUUCGGACUGCAGGCUGCAACUCGCCUGCACGAAGUCGGAAUUGCUAGUAAUCGCAGAUCAGCAUGCUGCGGUGAAUACGUUCC